GUCGAGAAUCUUUCACAAUGGGGGCAACCCUGAUGGAGCGACGCCGCGUGGAGGAUAAGGUCUUCGGAUUGUAAACUCCUGUCAUGCGUGAACAAGGUUGCUUGGUUAAUACCUGGGCAAAUUGAUGGUAACGCAAGAGGAAGAGACGGCUAACUCUGUGCCAGCAGCCGCGGUAAUACAGAGGUCUCAAGCGUUGUUCGGAAUCACUGGGCGUAAAGGGUGCGUAGGUGGCGUGGUAAGUCAGAUGUGAAAGCCCGGGGCUCAACCUCGGAACUGCAUCCGAUACUGCCAUGCUAGAGUACUGGAGAGGUGACUAGAAUUCUCGGUGUAGCAGUGGAAUGCGUAGAUAUCGAGAGGAAUACCAAAGGCGUAGGCAGGUCACUGGACAGUUACUGACACUGAGGCACGAAGGCCAGGGGAGCGAACGGGAUUAGAUACCCGGGUAGUCC
Molecule: ribosomal RNA, 449 nt
Filed under: uncultured bacterium
Lineage: Bacteria
Description: partial 16S ribosomal RNA
Rfam family: Bacterial small subunit ribosomal RNA
Source: RNAcentral